UACAGAGGUCCCAAGCGUUGUUCGGAUUCACUGGGCGUAAAGGGUGCGUAGGUGGUGGGGUAAGUUUGAUGUGAAAGCUCCGAGCUUAACUCGGAAAUGGCAUUGAAUACUAUCCUGCUUGAGGUUUGGAGGGGGGACUGGAAUUCUCGAUGUAGCAGUGAAAUGCGUAGAUAUCGAGAGGAACACCAGUGGCGAAGGCGAGUCCCUGGACAACACCUGACACUGAGGCACGAAAGCUAGGGGAGCAAACAGG
Molecule: ribosomal RNA, 253 nt
Filed under: uncultured bacterium
Lineage: Bacteria
Description: partial 16S ribosomal RNA
Rfam family: Bacterial small subunit ribosomal RNA
Source: RNAcentral